RNAcentral lists this ribosomal RNA (1372 nucleotides) under uncultured bacterium. RNAcentral describes it as "bacterial SSU rRNA". It matches the Rfam family "Bacterial small subunit ribosomal RNA", at positions 28 to 1381 of the family's 1533-position model. The record is from RNAcentral.
GAUGAACGCUGGCGGCGUGCCUAAUACAUGCAAGUCGAGCGAACGGACGAGAAGCUUGCUUCUCUGAUGUUAGCGGCGGACGGGUGAGUAACACGUGGAUAACCUACCUAUAAGACUGGGAUAACUUCGGGAAACCGGAGCUAAUACCGGAUAAUAUUUUGAACCGCAUGGUUCAAAAGUGAAAGACGGUCUUGCUGUCACUUAUAGAUGGAUCCGCGCUGCAUUAGCUAGUUGGUAAGGUAACGGCUUACCAAGGCAACGAUGCAUAGCCGACCUGAGAGGGUGAUCGGCCACACUGGAACUGAGACACGGUCCAGACUCCUACGGGAGGCAGCAGUAGGGAAUCUUCCGCAAUGGGCGAAAGCCUGACGGAGCAACGCCGCGUGAGUGAUGAAGGUCUUCGGAUCGUAAAACUCUGUUAUUAGGGAAGAACAUAUGUGUAAGUAACUGUGCACAUCUUGACGGUACCUAAUCAGAAAGCCACGGCUAACUACGUGCCAGCAGCCGCGGUAAUACGUAGGUGGCAAGCGUUAUCCGGAAUUAUUGGGCGUAAAGCGCGCGUAGGCGGUUUUUUAAGUCUGAUGUGAAAGCCCACGGCUCAACCGUGGAGGGUCAUUGGAAACUGGAAAACUUGAGUGCAGAAGAGGAAAGUGGAAUUCCAUGUGUAGCGGUGAAAUGCGCAGAGGUAUGGAGGAACACCAGUGGCGAAGGCGACUUUCUGGUCUGUAACUGACGCUGAUGUGCGAAAGCGUGGGGAUCAAACAGGAUUAGAUACCCUGGUAGUCCACGCCGUAAACGAUGAGUGCUAAGUGUUAGGGGGUUUCCGCCCCUUAGUGCUGCAGCUAACGCAUUAAGCACUCCGCCUGGGGAGUACGACCGCAAGGUUGAAACUCAAAGGAAUUGACGGGGACCCGCACAAGCGGUGGAGCAUGUGGUUUAAUUCGAAGCAACGCGAAGAACCUUACCAAAUCUUGACAUCCUUUGACAACUCUAGAGAUAGAGCUUUCCCCUUCGGGGGACAAAGUGACAGGUGGUGCAUGGUUGUCGUCAGCUCGUGUCGUGAGAUGUUGGGUUAAGUCCCGCAACGAGCGCAACCCUUAAGCUUAGUUGCCAUCAUUAAGUUGGGCACUCUAAGUUGACUGCCGGUGACAAACCGGAGGAAGGUGGGGAUGACGUCAAAUCAUCAUGCCCCUUAUGAUUUGGGCUACACACGUGCUACAAUGGACAAUACAAAGGGCAGCGAAACCGUGAGGUCAAGCAAAUCCCAUAAAGUUGUUCUCAGUUCGGAUUGUAGUCUGCAACUCGACUACAUGAAGCUGGAAUCGCUAGUAAUCGUAGAUCAGCAUGCUACGGUGAAUACGUUCCCGGGUCU